CACAAAAACCUCUAGUAUAGGCUGCAUAUAAACCAGUGGCUUCCAUGGGUAUACACAGAUUGAUUUUUGUUAAUUUACAGGGAUCACUGCACUUCCCUGGCAUGGAGCUGUCUGAAGAGUUUAAAUGCUGAUGGGUGUGGCAUUAUUUCUGGUAUUUGCUUAUUAUCCAGAGUGCAUUUAUUAAAUAUCUAUCAUGAAAUCCACACUCUAUAAAUCUAUUUCAAAUAUGUUGAUAUUUAAUGGUACUUACACACUUACAAACUGAGCUAAUCCUCCUAACUUCUCUCUGGAAAAGCUAUGCCUUUGACAUUGCCUUUUUUCACACAUAUGGAAAUGCAUAAUAUGCUUCUGUAUGGUACUUCAGAAUUUAUAAAAGGCUUUUCAGGUAAGAUUUACAUAACAUCAUGUGAUAGUGGCCAAAGGACACAGUCUUCUCAUUACAGAGGGGAGAGGUAUGAAGUGACUCUCCGAACAGUUACUCAGAUUCUGUCAGUCAGGUUCAGAAUCUUAUCAGGUAUCAGAUACACAUCUAGAUUUUUUUCCCUACUGUCUCUUUGUCAGAAUUCCCAGCCUAUGAGUGAACUUCAGUCUGAAUGAAUGCUAAUAUUCAAGGUUCUAAGUGAAAAAAUUACCGAGGUUUGUAUUGGCCUGAAGGAUGACCACCUGAAUACACACUGUGAAGUUCUGGACGUAGUUUCCAAACUUCAGUCACUUUGCAGCUGAGGGACUCUGUCCUCAUCAAUCACCAGAAAGCCUGCAGGAGUAGAGAGAAGCUGUGUUUGAAGAAUUCACAAAUACAGUGUAUUGAAGCCAACCACUACCACCCCCACCACACCCCUAAUUCAGGGUUCUGGCAAAUCCCAAACCAGGAGUUUGGGACCAGGUGUGGUUCAGGAGGUGACCUCGACUCCUUACUCUGAACAGCUCCAAAGUGCAUGGUGCACCCAGCGGGAGCUCAGUGCCUCAACCUCCCACCCUUCUGCCCUUGCCACCAGGAUGCCCGGCUCCCAGAGCCUCCAGGAGGCCUGCAGCAGACCCGCAGGUGCAGGUGCCCUGGGCUGUGUGUCCAGAGCUAACCCAAAAUACAGUCCCAGCUCAAGUGUCACCUCCCCACAAAGUCACUGUCUCCUACUCCUUACCGGAAGGCUGCAGGCCAGUAUCCGGCACCAGGAGUCACGGCAUUUGGGGUUUACCUGCUCUCCCAUGAAGGAAGAUGCCCCUGUGGGAACCCUGCUGCACCUGCAGCUAGGGCUGGGGGAAGAAGGGCUGAGCCAGCUUCCACCCUAGGACUGCAGCCUGGGAAAGUCCAGGGCCCCAGCGCCCUUGCCAGGCAUGGGAUCUCCCUAAGUGUGCUCUGAGCCAGGGCCUCAGGCAUCAGCAGCACCCUUGCUUCCAGAACCUGCUGCAGGGCAGCUCAGGUUCGGCCCGGGGGGGGGCCUCUGGCCAAUCCUCGCUGCCCUGGGGCAGGACCAGCACUGCCAGAACAUGCCACACUGGGCUGGCUAUAAAGGUCAUGGUCAUUGGUGGGCAGCUGGUAGUUGCGGUGUGUGUGGGUGACGUGGGUGAUGUUAAGUUCUUGGCUGUUCCGUACCUUGGGGCUAGAAUGCAGGCAGUGGCCCAAGAGUCAGGAGGGACAGGAGAAGAAGAGACAGACCUGGUGAGUGUGACCAGCCACCUCUCCCAACAGCCCUGCUGGCUGAGGCUUGCAGCACGUGCUGCACUUGGGGAAGCAAUGAAGGCCGAGUCUCAGCAGGAAAACCAAGUGCAAGGUGCUAAUUUGCUCACUGACGCAGCAUCUAUGUGGUCUGCAUUGGCAGACAGUUGGAAGGGCUUGUUAGGAGGGCGCUUGAGGCGCACUGAGCCCUCCUGCAGCUGCCUGCUCUAGGCAUCCAGGGCAGCAGAGUCCUGCAGGGUCCCUAGAGAUCCUGGCCAUGCUUUGCCUUCCAUCAUUCACCCUCCUGCACUGCUGCUGGGGGCAGUGCUUCUGUGGUUGUUAUCUCAUUUGAAUCCAUGGUCUUUUUCUCACGAUGGGCUGAUCUCACACAGUGACAAUCAUGGAACAAAUCACUGUUCUGUGGCAUCUGCCUCCCAGGAGCAUUGCAGGUGGACAGGGGGACAUGGGUGACCGGUGGCACCUCCUGUGCAUGGUCUCUGGCCCAUCCAGGGCCAAAGGUGGAAAGAGAAGCAGAGGAGCCAGCUCAAGGCAGUCCCGCUGUGGGUUCCAUCAGGUGCAAAAUGUCUCCCGAUUGCGGUUAACCUUGCAGCGAAACUGUCUCCUUGUGUGGGCCAGAGACAGCAUCCACUUUAUUAGCUGUGCUGUGUAUUGAUAAUUAAAAUUUGGGAAGUCCUAUCUUUAGUCCUCACAGCAUAGUUACAUUCAGAGGAACUGAUGAAACUCCUCAGUACUUUGGGGCUGAGUGUAAUAUUAGGUGGGUAAGCCUGUUGUUGGAUUUUGGUUUAUAGGUAUUGGGCAACUUUAUUUGGUAAAAAAGCAUUCAGGCUAGGUAGUGUAUUCAAGGAUGACCACUUAGUGCAUUGUCUUUUUUUUUUAAGAUUAAGAGAAUUGAAGACUGGGUUGAGCUACCUAUGGCAAAACUCCACCAUUCCUGGGAAGGCCACAAUUGGCAAGAAAAGCAGGUAGCAAGCUUUCAUCAAGUAAGUUGAGAUUCCUGUGUUUGCAAUCUGGAGAGCUCACUGAAGAGCUGGGGUGGGAACUGCUCUGAGAACAACUCAUUAGAGAACUGCUCUUGCAGACCUUCCCUGAAGGAAGCACUGUUGUGGUCAGAAGCAUUCCAGGAGCUGCUGGCCAGCAAUUGUGAAUUAGACUUGAAUUGAAUCCAUUGCAAGUAUCACAAGAGUGCAGAAAGGCUGUGUCCUCAAAUGAGCAGCUCACCACGGAGAAUUCGACUUAACCUAGAAGGUCUGUUUAGCUCUGUUUAUUUCUCAGCAUAUUCACACCAGGUGGGGAAAAUAAAUCAGCCUUCAGCUCUGCAAUGGCAGUGCUCUUGGUUGAGGCUGAGGAUGCUUUUCAUUGCAUGCAGUGUUUGCAAGAGACUUAGUUCCCUGAGGAUUUAUGCCUCUCCUGUAAAUACAUUUUUGGCACUAAAACAAACUGAAGUAUUUCUGUUUUAGUAGUAUGGAACCAACUGAAGUAUUUUACCUACCGGCAUCUUUGUCUUUAAAGAGCUAAAUCCACAGGAUUACAGGAUGGAGUAAAAACUAGAGAAUAGCUAAUCCUAGUACUAGAAAAGCACAAGGGAUUAUAUGAUCAUUAGCUUCCUCAUAUUCCUCAUAUUUCUUUUUAUUUUUCUACCUUCUCUUCCCUACCUACACAUGGUCUUGGUGUAUUGGAAGCUUUUCUAAAAACUGAAUUCUGUGAAGGAAAUAUAGGCUACUGGCUGGCUUGUGAAAACUUCCAAAAAUAUCCACCCACCCCAGAAGCCAAUUUGGGAAGUGAACCAAGAAAAAUAUAUACACUCUUCUUAGAAAAAGGCCCAAAAGAGAAUACAAUAUUCGGGGAGGAAGAAGGAAAACCAACUCAGACCCAGAAAACAUUCAGAAAAUUGCCGCUCAAGAAACCAAAAAUCGGCUGAGGCACCAAAAAACAAUGACAGCAAGCCAGAAUUGGAGCAAGCCAACAGCUGUGCCCUGAUUGAAAAAGACCAUUCCUCACAUGCCCUGAACUCCAUAUUCCAGCCUAAAUACCAAAGCUCACAUCAGGAAAUUCAUUACAAACCAUGAUAAAUAAGAAAAAUGUGAAAAAAGCCAAAGAAAUCCAAGAGUCCUUAGUGAUAUUGGGUGUGAUUUAGUCACAAGGAAACUGGCUGCUUCCGGAUUCAUCCACCCCUCCCAGCUAACUGGCUGUGGAAUUCUGAUUGAAUUCACCUGAAAAUCGCACUCACACUUGAUUUGGUGGGAAUUAAUAUCUGGUGCUGUUCUACGGGCUGGGGCUUUAAUCCACUGUGCAAUAGCACUGGCCCCUGUGAUGAUAGCAUUUGAAGACCUGGCUGUGUACUUUACCUGGGAGGAAUGGCAGAACAUGAACCAAGCUCAGAAAAUCCUGCACAGGGAUGUGAUGCUGGAGACCUACAGCAGCCUGUUCUCCCUGGGGCACUGCAUGACCAAACCUGACUUGAUCUUCAAGUUGGAGCAAGGAGCAGAGCCCUGGAUGGGGGAAGAAAGCCUUCCAGGUCAGUGUGUACAUAACGGGCAGGGAGGCCAAAGCAGAAGCAGUGCAACAGAUGUUGACUGGUGUUCUUUCCAUGAGUUUUUCCCAAGUCUUACUCCUGAAGACAGCUGCUCCUGUGAUUCAGACACAGACAUUCUACAGUAUCUAUGGAGAUCAGUAUCUCUGGUAAAGGCAAAGGAAAUGAAGUUUUCUGUGAAAAUCAACAACUGAUCAAAAACCUCCAGAAACUCAGAUUAUCACAAAGGAGUGUUUAUAGAAAGAAAUGAGAGGAGCUAACCAGGGCUGACGUCUUCACAAUGAGUUAGAAAUCAAUUUUCAAUGAUUGAGCAGACUCUGGGUUGCAGAAACAAAUUGUUUCAACUGGUGAGAAUGUAUAGUCAAGGUGGUAUAUUGGGACCAUCUGUAACUAUUGUAGUUCUAAGAAGAUUAGGAUGUCAGGUUUCCUUAGAAAUAUGGGGAAACUGUAAGAGUGCAGAUAAAACAGAGAUUUUUAUUAUAAAAAUCCCACAAAUGCUGUUUGCCUGGGAAGAAAGAA
This is a non-coding RNA of Oryctolagus cuniculus (rabbit), 4724 nucleotides long. The record is from RefSeq and is a predicted model, not a curated record. Lineage: Eukaryota; Metazoa; Chordata; Mammalia; Lagomorpha; Leporidae.